CAUUGAAACAGCGGUUCUCGUACGAUCACCGAAGUUAAGCAACGUCGAGCCUGGUCAGUUCCUACAUGAAUGACCGCUUGGGAAUACCAGGUGCUGUAAG
Non-coding RNA from Acanthosepion pharaonis, 100 nucleotides. NCBI's taxonomy places the organism in Eukaryota, Metazoa, Mollusca, Cephalopoda, Sepiida, Sepiidae. The record is from the annotation of a GenBank genome assembly.